CGCUGCAGCGCUGUGAGCCUGGGGCCCAAGGGGCGGGUAGUUCCCGUGCUUUGGCCUCACUCACACGCUAUCGCGAAUCACUUCCCGAUAGGUCACCCAUCCUUCCACUACUCCAGCUCAAGCACGCUUAACUCUGGAGUUCUUUCAGGAUGUGCUCCGGGUUGUUACAAUUUCAGCAUGGGAAAAGGUCGGGUGGUGAUUGCAGGGUCAGUAAACAAUGAUUUCGAGCCUUUGGAAAAUUAACGGACCGACCGUCAGACGGGAUGGGGCCCACGGGCCGAGAGAGCGGGCGUGGGUGGCCUAUUAGCCGUGGGCGGGUCGGGACGUUACAAGUGGUAUCAGAGCUGGUUAGCCGUCUCAGUUCCGACCUGAGAGGCGUCUUGAGACCUGUCGGGGGCGCAACGAGGACGUUGCGUUCUUUGAGAGGGGGUGAAUUGUAACAUCCCGAGUUGUGAUAUGUGAAAAAGGCUUAAGAGAAUUGAUUUGGCUACCUAUGUCACCAAAGUUGACUUACCUUUUCCGGAACACAUCCUGAAAGAAUUCCAGAGUUAAGCGUGCUUGAGCUGGAGUAGUGGAAGGAUGGGUGACCUAUCGGGAAGUGAUUCGCGAUAGCGUGCGAGUGAGGCCAAAGCAUGGGAAAAGGUCGGGUGGUGAUUGCAGGGUCAGUAAACAAUGAUUUCGAGCCUUUGGAAAAUUAACGGACCGACCGUCAGACGGGAUGGGGCCCACGGGCCGAGAGAGCGGGCGUGGGUGGCCCAUUAGCCGUGGGCGGGUCGGGGCGUUAUAGUGAUACCCUCCCAAGUACAACAAUCGCUGCUAUUCCGCCAUGAUUCCGUUUUCGGAUGACGCUUUACUAUAUCAUCAUCAAAAUAACAAUCAUAAGCAAAGGAAGAGUUUAGAACCUCAAACUCGUUCUUCAACAGAAGAAGUGCAUCCCUUUGAUCCGGACGACACAAGUGCGUAGUUGGAACCGCAGACACGUCCCCAUAACUGUAGCCGAAUAAAAAAAGUAUAGAAAGAGUAAGAGAAAUGGUACUCGUUAAGUUCCAAAAGCCUUUCAUUCUUCUUUAAGCUUAUUUAACUUUCUUGAAUAUCAAAAACUGAAAGAGCAAAAAGAAAAGGGAAAUUGGUGAUGAGUAACAUGCUUCCAUGGCCAUUUCUUUAUAUACACAAUAAUAGACUCUGUAUUUACUCCACACAAAACAAAAUCCACAGAGAAAAAUACAUUAUUCGUCACGUCGAAAGCAAAAUCUUUGUGUCGGAUAGUCAAUUUUCUACACAUAUUGGUCCCCUACACUAAUUACAUGAAUUUUCAAAAAAAAAAGAAUUGUCUAAACCAAAGAAGACGUAAUUUAGGUUUAUAUUUGGAUUUAAACUAAGAGCACCCGCAAUGGGAAUCUUUAAGGAUGAGUCCUUAGGAAAAAAAUAAUUAAAUAAUCGGUGAAUCCCACCAAAAGUUAAGGAUUCAAUCUUUAAAAUUCCUAAAUAAGGACUCUUUUUUAGUGAAUCCUUGCACUAUUUGCGGGUCCCGACGACAUGUGGCGAUUCGCGAUUGGUUGAUAUUUAUUUUUUUUUAUCUAAAAAAAUAAAAUAAAUAAUAAUACUUAAAAAAUCAAAAUAUAUUUUUUCUAAAGAUUCGCCUUUGAGUAACACUAUUGUGGGUGCUCUAACGUAUACUACGACCCAUGCAUAUUGACCCAAAAGUACUAACGUUUACGAUUACGAGACCCAUGCAUAUUUGCAUAUAAUGUAGUCUUUCGAUUUGAUAGUACAAGUUUUAUCUUUUUUACUUAUUCUAUUUAAAAAUUCAAGAUUUUAUGACAUUCCUUGCUUUAAAAAAAGAACUAAUUUAACUACUAAACUAGCGUAAUUUUGAUAGAAUUUCAAAAUAAGAAUCAUGCAUCUCCUAUAUUAAUAAGAAGAAAACAAACAUCAACCUUUUCAAAAAAAAUCAACGGCGAACGGUCUUAUUUUUAUUUUUGGUUUAUUCCUCGUGACUUCCAAAAUGAAAAAUAUAUGCAAAAUGACAAAAAGAUUAAACUCUUUACUAAGAAUCAAUCAAAAUGAACAAAAAUAUCAAUCUGCAUGAGAACAUUCUUCAUAACAGAAAAAUCAACUCUUCGUCGUGAAUGUACCGGCGAUCGAGCCAUAUGGCCCAUAUCAUAGUGAGUACAUUCUUCAACUAAUAUUCCUCAGGGCGAGAUCGUCAGGAAGAAACCAAGAUUUUACUCGAUCGCUUUCUUUUUGUUUCUUCAAUAUAUGGCUGUAGUAACCAAAAACAAAUAAAUAAAUGUUGAUGAACCAAUCAGUUUCCGCAUUUUUUUCUUUCUCACGUCAAUAAUAACAAGUUUUGGUGAUAAUCAUCUCACUUUCAUUAGAUAAAAUAUACAGAAAAGAGACAACUAGUGAUGAGAAACCAAAACUUCCAUACGGAAGAGGCUCGUUCAGAUUUUCUUAUUAUGUUUUUCCCCACUUUCUAGAUUAAUGUAAUUUUGUAAUAUACAUUAUUAAUCGUUUCAUAUAUAGUUUCAAGCAACCUACGAGAGACUUCCAAGUCCACAAGAAGGUUAGGGGAAUCAUCUACCUUCAUCCAUGAACCAUCUUCACCACGCGGUUGAACCACGAAGCUGACUCCUUUCACGUCAGAAUCUACCACCAGCUCCGAAACGUAAUAGGCUGGUACGUGAGACACUCCUAGGAACACUCUCUCGCUUCUUGGUUUCUCCAGAACCUUUCUUGAUCUUAGUACAUCAGUUGACUUCACAUUCUCUGCAUACACAUUGUACACUGGGAGAACAGAGUCUUCAAGCUGUGUCUGUCUCCAUUCUAGCUUAACCUUAAGGAUCCUAGAACCGGAUUUACCCAGUACAAGCUCUAAGUUAUGAGCCUCGAUUACCCAUGAUGUCGCUGGAGGUAAGGAAACGAGGUUUUGCUGGAGUAGCUGAACAUGAUGAUCUUUGAUUGAGAUGUGAUCCAUGAUUCCCUCCUCCGUUAUAAGAUGCCUCUCUAGUACUAAACAAAUUCAUGUGCUCACCGUUAUACGUUUGCAAACAAAUAGUGAGCUGAAUGAUAUCAGUGUUGUCUUCCUUGAACUCUAGGAUUGGCUAACAUUAAUAACACAACAAAGGCACCCAUCAGAUGAGAGAAGAGACAAAAUAUUAUAUGCGCAGUUAAAGCGAGGACGAUAAGAUGGUUGAACCUGAAGACUUUGGCAAGAAAUGUUGUACCAUGGAGCAUCAGAUAACUGGCGACCCUCGAGUGAAACAUGGUAACCAAAGCUCUGGAUAAACGAGAAAAGAUAUUUUCAGAACAUAACUUAACAUAAAUCAUCGCCAAGACAGUCGAUGUAUACUUUACCUGAUUGAAGUCAGAGUAAAAAGGCAAGACUUGUGGAUAUGUUUGGACUACUCCCCAUGACUUCUCAACAAGUGACCACCAUCUGAAGGGAAAACGAAUGAACGAUAAUAAGAUGACAAAGAAAUGCCAAUUUAUUUUACAAGCAAACAGACAAAAGAAGUAAUACUUAUUCUGAGCUGUAUGAAAAUUAGGAGGCUGUGCAGUCUCAUAUACCCAUCCAGGAGCGAAAAUGGCAGCUGAUACAUUGUUUCUCUUCAGCAAAUCAAGAGCAGUAUUAACCUAUAAUAUAUAGAUUAAUGAGACAAUGAUUGAAUCUUUAAGCUUCUGAGAUUUCAGAUUGUUGAUUUGGAACCAUAUCUUUGAGCAUCUACUCAAUUGAGUUGAAUUGUGUUGUUGUUGUACAGGGAAGAAGUUGUAGAGAUUAGAUUGUGGAGAAGCUAUGGUAGAGCAAUGGUUGGAUCUGAGAAGAGAGCUCAGCUCAUGGAGAUUGGAGAAACUGUUAUUAUUCUUACUCACUAGGUUUCAAGUUAGAGUAAUGCUUUUUUUUUUUGUGUUUACUUAUCUUAUUUAGGGUACAUUGGUAGCAAAGCAGAUUGGUGAAAGAAACUCUUGUAGUAAUCUGACAGACAUAUCAACAUGUACUUUUGUCAAGUGUUUAAUGUAUUAUCGUUUGUGUAUCAAUGCCUGCAGUUCCAAAUAGAGUUUUUUUCUCCUUUUUUGUUAUCAGCAAUUAGUCUUUUGCGUAAUCAGGUCUCAAAGUUCUCUUUCCAGGACAAUGUACAUCAGAGACAUUCAUGUUCUUCCAUAAUUUACGUUUGGAAGACCAAACCCACCAAGCUAUUGUUUGGCUGUUUGCUUAUAUGACUUUGCAUCAAUCUUUAUCGUGUUGAAGCUCACGCAUCUUCUUCUGAAGAAGAUUGUUUCUGUAGAUUAAUAAAGAAGGGAACAGAAUGGGGGCAAGGCAUGGGCCUAUUCAUCAUUUGUGUUGGCUUGAUCUUUUCAUUGCUACUUACAUGAUUGGCUCGUGGGUUCGAGUCCAAGCUCGUAGGUCACACACAUCAUGAUCAUGUAGUGGCUUAUCUUUGAGAUUUUGGUAUUGAGCUUUAAGUAUAAUGUUGAAAAAUCAAAGGAUAACGUACCAGAGGGAUUGUGAAAGUGACCAAUCAGUUGGCUGUUUCUUUUUUGAGAUCGUGGACACCAAAACAAAGAGAAGCAAGACUUGGAUUCGAUUAAAAAGUCAGUCAAGAAAAAUAUAAAAAGAAAGAUCCAAGAGGAAUUUUCUUAUAAAAUGGAUAAUGAUCGUUAAACCCAAAUUUUAGUUGAGUAUAUAUAUAUUUAGUUAUUGUUAAUUGUUAAUUUAGAUUAUACAUAUUUAAUCAAACAAUCAAAGGUUGAAAUAGAAACAAGAGAGUGUGGACAUGAAGAAAACAAGACCCCUUUAGGCCUUUACUAGCCAUUUCUCUUCCUCUUCUACUCAUCAUUCAUUAUCAAUGAGAAUAUUACCAAUCACAAGAUAAAUCAACGCAAACUUUUUUUUUUUUUUUUUGUAUUGUCACAUUCGAAAAUCAUAAGCUUAAAACCUUUUGAACUUUGUAUAUACACAAAAUGGAAUCUUGAUAAUUAUAUUUGCAAAGUUUAUAGUUUCUAUGAGUUAAUGUGUCUCAUUGAUAUGAACAAUCGAAAUAUCCAUAUAUAAUAUGUACAUCCUUUUCUAAAGCGCUGUGUAACUGUGUUGAUUAUAGCUUUUAUCUGGAUCAUCUGUUCAUUGCUCAUCUCACGUCUAAACAGUUGAUGUUAAGAUUCACAAGAGGGGAAAAGACGACACAUCUUUGACUGUGCUUGUAAUUUUCAGCGUAAGAAACAUAGUUGUUGUUCAAUUACAGAGAAACAAAGAAAUUUGCUAAAACGUAAAAAAAAAUAGAGAUAGAGAAAAAACACACCAAGCUAAACCAGAAACGAUAUCCCAAAUCUUAUUUGAAAUUAUGAUAGACAUAGUAAUUGCUUCGGAUUUCAUCUUUCAGAUUCCGCAGGUAGCUUAUAAAAGACCUGUACCAAAAAAAGAAAAGGUUAACUCAGGUGAUUUCACUAUUAAUAUUUUUGUUUCUUCAAAUGUUUGCUAACAAGUUGACUUAAAACUCUAGAAUAUAUUACCUCUUUAAUGAGUUGUGCUGCUGCUGAUUCUGCGCUUGUUUCGGGCAAAAGGGUCGAUGAACCACUCUGGUUUGUAGGAAAAGAGUAUGUAACCAAUCACCCAUCCAAAGGCAAUACCAGGUAUGACUCCUAUUACAGCUGCUAUCCAACUCAACACCUCUUCUUCUUCUUCAUCCUCUGAUUCCGGUGUUUCAUGCGGUGUUGGCAUGUGGAUAUCUCUGCAAUCUUCGUCAAGAGAAGGGCCAAAAAGUCCCGGAUUAUCCUCAAAGUAAGUGCAGUCCAGCCUUUGAAACUGAGUGCCUCCUGGUACUAGACCUGUAAGCUUGUUAUGAGAGAAGUUCAUGUACGAAAGGAACGAGAGGCUCCCUAGCUCUUGCGGAAUUUCUCCUGAAAGCUUGUUUUGGGAAACGUCUAGUGACUCAAGAGCCGUCAGGUUUCCAAGAGAUGAAGGGAUGUGGCCAGUGAAAGCAUUGUUCGACAAGUUAAGCAUAAGAAGCCCUUUUAAUAGACCGAUGGACCUUGGGAUCUCUCCUUCAAAUUUGUUUCCUGAAAAGUCAAGUGCUGUGUAGAUCUUUAGGAUACGUACAAACUCCAUCUCUAUACCUUUAUUCAUCAACACCAUUGAAUCAUGGUAAUAGGAACCUCCCAUGUAAUUGUCAAACCGCUGAUCAUAAUUGUCCCCCAAUGAUGACAUAGCACUCCACUUCACAAAGUAGUCUGAUGACAAAGAUCCAUUGAAGUGAUUGUGCGAUAUGUCGAUGAUUUGCAACUUAGGGAACGAAGUUUGAAGUACCGGUCCAUGGAACGCAUUGGAGCGUAAUACAAGAAUUUUUAACUCUCGUAGAGAAUGCAACCAGAACGGAAACGUAUCAUUGAAAAUGUUGCUUUCCACGUUCAGAACUUCAAGACUAGAGAAAUGGAUCAAAGAUCUUGGAAGCCUUCCUGUCAGUUGGUUAUGACCAACGUCAAGCGUUCUUAAGCUUUCAAAUAUAGUCUCCGGAAGACCUCCAUGAAGACGAUUUUGACGAAGGUUUAGAUAUAAAAGAGAACGUUUGAGAUUUCCCAGACAACGAGGGAUUAAACCGACGAAUUUGUUGUUCGAUAAAUCAAGAGUGUAUACAUAGCGCAAAUCACAUAUGAAAGAGGGAAUCUUUCCCGUGAAAUUGUUGUUGGAGGCAAUCAAGUUUACGAUAGAAACUGUUGUUGAGUUUCCGAAGCCAGUGAAAGUGUUGUUGGAAAGAUUCAGGUAAGCCAGCUUUGGUAGCGUCCAUAACCAGCCAGGCACUUGACCUUUGAUUUUAUUGUUGGAAAUGUCUAGCCACUCCAUAUGUUGGUUUCUUGGAAAUUCUGGAAACUCGGUGAUACCGCAGCCUGACAAUUCCAAAUAACGCAGCAAAGGGGGACCUGAAACUGGACUCUUGUUUGUGGCAGAAACAGGGUUGCCUGAGAGAACCAACCUCUCGAGCCUCUUAAAAUAUGACAAGAAAUCAUUCAAGUCAAUGGCAGUGGUCGUGUUCAAAUAGGAUAGGUCAAGAUCUUCCAGCCUCUUGAGAUGCGAGAAGAUGUUAAAGUCCACUGGAGCUUGUGUCUUGUAGUGGGAAAGGUCAAGUUGGACAAGGUUGGUAAAUUUGGAUAUCGCGGCCGGGAUUGGCCCUCUCAAGUUGUUAUUGCCAACGUCUAACUUUCGUAGCUGAGGUGGUGAAGAUAUAUUCCCAAACUCAAGAAUACCGUUUAAUUGAUUAUCAGACAAAUCAACAAUAUCCAUAGAAGGAAUGGUGAAGAGAGAAGAAGGCAGGGUCCCAGUGAAAGCGUUGCUACUUGCUAAAAAAAUCGUCAAUUUGGAUAGUGAAGUGAUGUUAUGAGGAAUUGUUCCUGUGAACUGAUUGUAAUAGAGUCCUAAAUAUGACAACUUUGUCAAAUUCAGUAGUGCAAUGGGAAAGCUUCCAUUGAGCCUAUUGAAACCAACACGUAAGGUGGUCAACUGGUUUAGAUUGCCAAAAGAAGAUGGGAUUUCACCAACAAUAUUGUUCCUAGAAAGGUCAAGAUAAGUGAGGUUAUAAAGAUUUCCAAUAGAAGAUGGAAUCUUACCCGAAAUUUGAUUAAAAUAAAGGUUAAGAUAGGUGAGAUGAGAAAGAUUUCCAAUCAAAGAUGGAAUCGGACCAGAAAGAAGGUUCCAUGAAAGAUCGAGAUAGGUGAGAUAAGAAAGGUUUCCAAUAGAAGAUGGAAUCUGACUCAAAAAAGGAUUAACAGAAAGAUCAAGAUAGGUGAGAUGAGAAAGGUUUCCAAUUGAAGAUGGAAUCUGACCAGAAAAACGAUUAGAUGAAAGAUCGAGAAAGGUGAGAUAAGAAAGGUCUACAAUCGAAGAAGGAAUGAACUCGCUGAAACCAUUUUGCGAAAGGUCCAGAGAGGUGAGAUGAGAAAGGUUUCUGAUAGAAGACAUGAUUGGACCACUAAAAUAAUUAUUUGAAAGGAGUAGAGUAGUUAGAGAAUGAAGGUUUCGAAGACUGCUUUUAGAAUGAAACUUGCCACCUAGGUUGCUGCAACUAAGGUUUAGCUCGAUCACUUCACCAGACUUGACGUUGCACGUGAUACCCUCCCAAUUACAGCAGUCGCUGUUAUUCACCCAUGACUCUGUCUUCCGAUGAGGCGUAAUACCACGAUCAAUACAAUUAUAAUAAGUAAAGGAAGAGUUUAGAACCUCAAACUCGUUCUUUAAUUGGAGAAGUGCAUCCCUUUGAUCUGGACGACACAAGUGCGUAGUUGGAACCGCAGACACGUCCUCAUAACUGUAGCCGAAUAAAAAAAGUAUAGAAAGAGUAAGAGAAAUGGUACUCGUUAAGUUCCAAAAGCCUUUCAUUCUUCUUUAAGCUUAUUUAACUUUCUU
Molecule: long non-coding RNA, 8392 nt
Filed under: Brassica rapa (field mustard)
Lineage: Eukaryota; Viridiplantae; Streptophyta; Magnoliopsida; Brassicales; Brassicaceae
Description: long non-coding RNA (BRAP_LNC000734)
Source: RNAcentral